UACAGAGAGUGCAAGCGUUAAUCGGAAUUACUGGGCGUAAAGCGCGCGUAGGUGGAUAUUUAAGUCGGAUGUGAAAUCCCCGGGCUUAACCUGGGAAUUGCAUUCGAUACUGGAUAUCUAGAGUAUGGUAGAGGGAAGUGGAAUUUCCGGUGUAGCGGUGAAAUGCGUAGAUAUCGGAAAGAACACCAGUGGCGAAGGCGGCUUCCUGGACCGAUACUGACACUGUAGCGCGAAAGCGUGGGGAG
RNAcentral lists this ribosomal RNA (245 nucleotides) under uncultured bacterium. RNAcentral's name for it is "partial 16S ribosomal RNA". It matches the Rfam family "Bacterial small subunit ribosomal RNA", at positions 524 to 768 of the family's 1533-position model. The record is from RNAcentral.